AUCAAGGACACGAGGCACAUCACUCCAUUUGUGUUGGCUUCUCCUUCUCUUCGUGCUGCUCCGAUCGGGCGAGUCUCCCCCAAUCCCUCGCCUCCUCCAUUCCUCCGCCCGAGCCUCAGCCUGAUGUCCCAGUGCGGCGGCUCCCACUGUGGCCUCACGAAGCGGUGAGGCGCGGCGAUGGCACCUUCUCUGCACGCCAUCGGCGCCACCGCCAUCCUCCGAAUGGCCCCUGUAGGAGUGCAGGUCGAGUCGAUGCUGUCAAUGACCGUCCAUGCGCAACCCCAGCAGAGGCGCACUGACGGUGGGACGCGCAACUCACUCGCACUCUUCCCUCAUCCCCAUCUCGACCGGUGGCCGCGGUACGGCCGAAUCACCUGGCUACAUCUGGUUCUUGCUUCGCCGCUGUGGUGGCCCUUGUGGAGGGACUGGCUCAGAUCAGAGGUUGUGCCGCUGCCAUGAGGUUGGUGCUGUCCCUGCCGGCCUUAGCAUCCUUACCUGUGAACACGGCUGCGGUUCCAGGGGAGCCCAAGCGCGCUGCCGCGCGAUUGCCUUGCUCGCGAUUCUUCCACGCAGGUCCCCCCCACCCCAACCAUCGCAGUGCAUGUGGGUGUGCCAGUGCCGGCAGAAGUGGAUUAUUUGCUGAGGCUAUGUUCCUGGACAUGGUCAAAUGAAACACACCACUGAACUCUAUUUCCAUGUUAAAAAGUUCAGUUUCAUGUCAUUGGAAAGGUCGGAAUUCUGAAGAAUGCGGCCUUGCUGGGUAUCGUGAUGGUAUUGUGAGGGUUCUGGCAAUCUUUGGGUACACAUUCUGUUCUGCACCUUUCUUGUGGGCAUCCCUGGUGAGGAUGAUGGACUCACUGCAGACGAUGCUUGAGAGGGAUCCAUUAUUCCCCCGGCUUGGUGAACUGACAUAGGAUAUUGAAUUCAGCAAGCUGUACUGAUUCUUUUAUGCACAGAUUUGAGAUGCUUCAUCAACACAUGGACAACUGAUCUGGAUCGGCUAAUUCUUGAUUCAUUCUGAUGGUUUCGCUCAGGCAUUCUGCUGUGUUGAUAGUUAUGUAGAAAACAUAGCCUGCAGCAACCAUGAUUGAUGCAGAUACAGGACAGAUUGGUCAGCUGGUUUGUCACAUAUUGGCUGCUAGAUUUUGAUAUAUAUACGAAUCCAUUUUGUUUUUCUUUCGUUCUCGCAACUUCUUUCCAAAAUUAAAGGUCAGUUCUCUCUGUAUAUACAUCUAUAUUUCCAUUAUGUCACUUUAUGUCUACUUUUCUCCCUGCCAUAACACAGAAUCAUAUUUGCCUAUUAUUUGUGAGUAGUUCUGUAUUCGAUGGUAGCUUAUUUAAAAAAAGAUAAUUAUUAUAAAUCUGUAGCUCUUGAAUAUCUUAUUCACUCUUUUUUUCUAUAUUUUUCUGUAACAAAGAGUAAAUGUGAUGUGCAUACCUGAAGAAAGUGCAUGCAGUUUUGUGAGGUACCAAAUAUGACCAGUUUGGUUCUAGAUGUAACUACUUUUGGCGCAACUGGCCUAUCAACAUGAUAACAUUCGGGGUUUAGGAUGCAUCAUAUCUUGCUUUAGUCACAUGAGAGGUCUAUCAAAGUUUCUCUUUUGGCAAAUUAUAUUUUCUUGAAAUAUGAUCUCGAAGAUAAAUAAGCAUUUAUUUCCUCUUAUUUGUCUCAGCCUAGGCUUUAGUGCUUGCAGAGAGGUGGUCACAUCUUCAAUGCCUUUUCACAUGAGAGGUGCUAUGUUUACGGAUUAGAACGGAUUCAACCGAAAUGCUCUAAGACAGACAUCAUGAUGCCUAUGCGAUAAUUGUCAUAUUCAGUAUUUAUCAUUAUUUUUAUGCACUUGGAAAUGUUAUCAUUAUGAUUUUAAGAAACAAAGUGCUUAUGGCCUAUUGGUAACUAAUUUUAUUUCCAGUGACUUUCUCCUGCACUGCUGCCUUAGGCCUUUGAAUAUGAUUGUCGGUGGCAGAUAGGAACCUGCAUUAUAAAUAUUACCAAUCAUUUUCUCCCCUGCACCACUCAAAUAUUUUUAUAUAGUUGAAAAGUAGCUGCAUUGCAAAAUUGCGUCAGCAAGGUACAUGCACAUUCGCCCUGCUUGAUCUUAAGUUUUUCAUUACAAGUUGGUGUUGCCACUGUAUUACUACGUGAUUAAAGCAGCCUAUACUUCCAAAAUAUAGAAAACAUAGGGGCAAAUUCUUUUAGUCGUGGAUUGCUCAAACAGGUUUAUCUCCAUUGUUUAAUUUGAUGUUGGGGGUUUGGCAUUAGCAUACUACUGUAAAGUUCAUCUAACAAUAGUUCGAUCCUUGCUUAUUUGACUCGGUUCCAUUAGCUGUGUAUAUUACAAGUUUACCUGUGCAUUGUUGCAGGUUCAUCAAAGGUAAUUCAUGAUUCGAUGUAUCACUUGGACAAAUUUAGAUGACUAUCAUUUUUUAGAUUGUGAUAUAUUUUCAGAAUAUGUUUGUGCUUAGUUUAAUUGAUUUUGUUGUCAUUAUGAAGUGUUAUAAUUCCUACUUAGGAUAUCUCAUGAAAAUCUCACAUUUACUGCAGACUUUUUUCUCUAUAUGUUGUGUUGUUUGCUGAUCGGAGGCAUAAAGUUUCUACUUCGAGAUAGUUUGUCGCAUAUAUCUUUCUUCAUGCUUCAGAUCAAAUUACUGAUGGGAAAAUGAUCAUUUGCAGUAUUUUUUUCCUAUUAGAUAUUAAGUUUGACAAGGCUGUAAACGUACCUGCUAUAUAUGAACAAAGACUAUCACAUUUAUUUUCAAUAGUACAAAUUAGAGUUGUCCAUUGAUCAUGGCAGUCUACUUACUGCUCUCACGCCCACCAUCAUGUCAUGUCCGGCUCUUUCUGUGCUACAGCAAAUGAGCCCCCACAGUCCACAACCAUAGACACACAUUACCUGCAGGCGUGGCGUUAGCACGCCAAUAUUUCUAGUUCCUUUAUAUAGGCAAAAGAAUGCACCUAUCACACAUUGGCUAGGCAUACCUUUGCCAAAUGUUUUUUGUUCUCGUCCUUCUGCAUUUUUACUAACCAGGUUGUAUCACACUUCAUUGCUCUAAUGGAAGCUGCAAUGGAUUAGCAUAAUCUUGCCAAUGAGUCUUCACAGCAACCAAUGAUCAAUUUCGUGUGUACCAAUUGGAACAGAUACAUCACACUUGACUUAGCCUGACAUGCAUUUGGGCCAUUUUUAUUAGGCUAAAGUAGCUCUGACUUAGCUAGAUGAGAGGCAAAUAUUAUAUAAUAUAAUCUGUGUGUUAUAGCUUGUAUUGUUUGAGUGUCCGACUUGGAAUUCUAAUAUCGUUUCAGAUAACAAUUAUUAAGUUAUUUUGGUGAUACCAAUAUAUAGUUUAUUCAUUAUUAUUAAUUAAGCUUGAUGGAAAAGUUACAUCAAGCUUGAUUUUCUCCGCACUCAAAUUACUUGAGUCAGGUUCCAAGAUCUUCUUGACUAUAUGUUACAUUUUUAUUUGGGCUGCCAUUACAGUUUGCGGCACAAUCUGAGAAGAAGCUCAAGCUCCUGUCUUUCUUCAUGAUCGAGCUGAGUCUUGUGGAAUACGAGAUGCGCAAGUUCUGCCUGUCUAUGCUGGCAGCUGCUGCUAUCUACACAGCUCAAUGCACGAUGAAUGGGUUCAAGUCCUGGAACAAAUGCUGCAAGCUGCACACAAAAUACUUUUUUAUGACCUUAAUGAUUUUGAUCAAGAAAUACUUCAUCAAUUUACUACAGGUAUCCAAGGAUCUCUUAUUGUCUAACUGGUUCAAGUGGAAACUAAGAUGAAUUUGUUAUAUUUGUGUAUGGCAAUCUGCACUUCCAACUGCUUGUUUAAGUUAGUGGUCAUCCAUGCAUCGAGUAGGUGCAGCUGUCCCUGCGUAUUAUUCUUGGUGCCAUUUUGCUAAAUUCUAACCAUUUUGCCCUCAUGAAUCCUUUAGGUCUUUCUGUUCUUGCCCUUUGGUUUUAAAUUCUAGUUGUGGCCUCGAUAAAUAACAUUGGCUGAGUUUUGUUCAAUAUAUUGUCGUUGGGGUUAUAUCUUUCCACUUGGAUGUAGUAGGGAUUGAACUUCUAAGUCCACUUUUAACUUUGUACAGAAAUGUGAGGCUCGUCUAUUGUAUAGGGAGUAAUGCAGUAAUAGGGUGCCAUUUUUUUUUUCUUUUUCACCUUUUUCUUGUUCUCUUAGAUAAGCUGCGUUGCAAAUCACGCCUUUUGACCAUCUCUUCAGCAGUUGAGGAUAGAACUAUGUUUGAUUUUGAGGAUUGCAACUAAGACUGAUUCCAUCUCACUAAUUAAUUUUUUAGCUAAUUCUAUUUCUGACCAGGGACACAAUAGUACUAUAGAAUUGGAUUUACAGGAUUUGAUCAGAUCAGCUGCCAGCAUUGUGGCAAUUAUUAAAACGACUUGUUGGAUGUCAGAUUCUGAUCAGAGCUUGUCUGGCGUGUCAGUCUGAUCUGAUCAGCAACCAGUUUAUUGUUCUCGGAUUCAAGGUUUCGGCUGGGGCGUGAGUAGCAUAAUUAUUUUCAAUACUAAGGACUUGCUGCAUCCUUGGUUUUUGUACUAAAGACUUCUCAUCUGUUGCUAUAUUAUUCCCCAACUCUAAUUCUGUUUUCAGUUCCCGAAUAGAUUUUUAAAUUCAAAUUGAACAUCACCUUUUGGAAUUAGAUUAAGAAAAGAAAUCGAAACUUUGAAAUCACUUCUUCUGCAGUCUUUGGAAUUCUGAAACUUGUAUAGUUCCUUCUCAUUGACAACUACUGCAACAUAAAAAGAAAAUGACUUGGAUGAACAUGCAAAUAUGAACAAUAUGAUUAUUUUCUUGGUAGUUCUGUAAAAAUUCUUCAAUCUCAUAGUAUUGUAGCGCCCUCCAUUUGACAGCAAGCGUGGCUGACAAUGUCAGCAAGCGGAUCAAGUGCCCCGAUGAGGAGCAUGAAGCGGAGGCCGGCCAAAGGCGGCGUGUGGUCUAAACUCUAAACAUGGCAAGGUAAUGAUAUUACUGACAAGGUUGGGCUACAGGGUGGGAGCGUUGUGAAGACAUUGAUGAUCUCUCCACCAUCAAACAAGCCAACAACUGAUUCAAGUGAAAAGUCUACCAUACUACCAAGGAUGACUAGUUCUGAAUUCCGCCUACACCGUCCAUUUAAGUUCAGGGGAAUGCCAACAUGGUUGCCUCAUCAAGUGAGCUCUGCAUGAAGGUGGUGCUCAGCAAUGACAUGUCGGUCAAGGAGGUGGGGGUUCUCAUGGCAUCGGCAGAUGCUUAUGGUGUUAGUGGAUGUGGACAACGACGGGCUGCUGGACGAAGGGGAGUUCAUGAGGAUGUGGAGAGAGAGGCGGAGGUGGACCAGUACUUAUGGCUGAAGCAGGUGUGCGGGAUGUAGGGGAUGGAGGGAAGAGGUUCACCACACUGCUGAGGUUAAAGGUAAUGCUCAACAAGCUGGGCGUGCACCAGGACAUCACCGAGUGCCUAGAUCUGGAUGGAGAUGGUGUGAGCUUCGAAGAGUUCAUGACCAUGAUGAUGAUGUGAUCUGGAGACGCUAUAAUUUCCUGUGGUUUGUAGCUUAGACUUUGUUUGUUAAUUGAUCGUGCAUGAAUUAGUGAAAUAGUGAAAUUCCACAAAGCUGCUGUAUUUUUGUUUCUACGAAACCAUACUGUGUUCCCAACUAUAUUUGUAAUUUUUAUCCCGUUACAAUGCAUGGGCACCCAACUAUAGUAUAAGAUCACGUUAAGAGAGAACGAUUUUAGUUAA
Molecule: long non-coding RNA, 5721 nt
Organism: Panicum virgatum (switchgrass)
Lineage: Eukaryota; Viridiplantae; Streptophyta; Magnoliopsida; Poales; Poaceae
Exons: 6
Source: RefSeq, a predicted model, not a curated record